This is a long non-coding RNA of Mangifera indica (mango), 651 nucleotides long. RefSeq lists it as uncharacterized. Lineage: Eukaryota; Viridiplantae; Streptophyta; Magnoliopsida; Sapindales; Anacardiaceae. The transcript has 2 exons. The record is from RefSeq and is a predicted model, not a curated record.
UUCUCAACACUCCCCAUCACCAACUUAUUUAUGGCACAAAAGGCAAGCUCAAAUUGCACUACAUGGAAUAUUAUAUUGGUUGUAUACAUAUAUGUUCAUAGUUUCCUCUCUCUUUUUUUCUAUCAUUUCUCUGCAAGUUUUAUUGAUAAGAAUGCAGUUCUGCUGCAUGGUGAUGAGGAUCGACAUUGACUGCAAUGGCUGCUACAGGAAAGUUAGGAGAGCUCUUCUUGACAUGCAAGAGUUGGAGACUCAUUUGAUAGAGAGGAAGAGAUCCAGAGUGAGUGUGUGUGGCGAGUUCAUCCCACAAGAUGUGGCCAUCAAAAUAAGGAAGAAGACUAACAGAAGAGUUGAGAUAUUGGAGAUUCAAGAAUUCAGCACCACCAACAAGUAUGAAAAUCACCAAGAGCAUAGCCAGCAGAGACCCCUGAUCACUUACAUAACAUGAAAAAUAAAAGAAAGCUGGGUUCUCUCGAUUAACCUUGAUCGUCUACAGCUUCCGAAUGGCUGAUUCAAUUGCAGGCACUCUUGUAGGUUCCAUCUCUAUUUCAUUUGUUAGAAUAUGCCAUAAAAACCAAUCGCUUUAAUUGAUUUUAAGGUUGUAUAUCUUGCAUGUACAUUAUUAAUAAAAGAAGAAUUAUGUCAUACUUCACA